UGCGAUAACCUGACACUUAAACGAACUACUUCUGCCUGGCGAUGCCGGGGCCCUUCCCACGCCCUGCCUUCUCUCAUUUCCUCGGCCAUUCUUCAGUGACUCUUUUAAGACGUCUUUAUUGAUUGUGCCAGACGCUGUUCUAAGUGAAAUGCACGAAGCCCCUGGGAAUCACGGAGGUGACAUUCUGGGAGGGAACGUUACUCCCUGCUUUUUUACAGAGAGCAGCUGACAUAAUGAAUCAAUCCGCCCAGGCCCAGUUGCAACUGAGAAGACAAAGCCCAAACCCAUGAGCCUUGGGCUGUCUGGCCCCAGGAGAGAGGCCUCCUGAGCAGAUGCUUAGAAGAUGAAUAUAUUACUUUCAUGAGAUGUGGACGCCUCGCUCCCCUCGAACAUACCCUGGCACUGCCAGCUAGUUGGUGCCACUGUCACCUCUGUAAAGCUCAGGAAGAAAGGAAGACGGUGUUUACUACACUCCACGUGCCCCUGGGGGCUGUGAGCUGUAAAAUAUCGCCUCCUUAAUCCUCUGACCAUCACCUCUGAGGACAGGGUCAAGCAACUCCUUUCCGAGGUGGGGAAAUGCAUGCUGAGAGAGGCCGAGUAUCUUGUCACAAGUCACCCAGCUGGGGACAGUGGCACUGGAACCUGAACCUGAAUUCUCAGGCCCUGAAGUGUGUGCUAGCUCAUGCUUUGCUCCAUGUGAGGUCUGGAGUUUGCGGGGAACAGAACACUAGAUUCUCUGUGAUGGCUGACAGGGUUGGCAGCCAGGCUAGGAGGUCCUCUGCUGGCCCUGCCGGAUCUCACACUGCAGGCCGAGGAUGUCUAGAGACAAGGAGCCGCGGAGCGAGUUCAGAACGACACCAAGGGAGUCGAGAAAUCUGA
This 879-nucleotide long non-coding RNA is filed under the name Ictidomys tridecemlineatus (thirteen-lined ground squirrel). RNAcentral describes it as "lncRNA (ENSSTOG00000034941.1)". Lineage: Eukaryota; Metazoa; Chordata; Mammalia; Rodentia; Sciuridae. The record is from RNAcentral.